This is a non-coding RNA of Taeniopygia guttata (zebra finch), 13393 nucleotides long. NCBI's taxonomy places the organism in Eukaryota, Metazoa, Chordata, Aves, Passeriformes, Estrildidae. The record is from RefSeq and is a predicted model, not a curated record.
UCAUGCAGCUGUGAUGGUUUUGGAUCUUGGAGCAGGAGUCAUAAGCAUUUUGCUGCAUUGUCAAGACAAAGCCUGAAAGGAAGAUUGCCAGCUUGUAUUAUGCACCUAGCCUGGAGACAACAUGACACACCUAGUGCCAACAAUAUGCCUAAGCAAGUAGAAGUUCGGAUGCAUGAAAGUCAUUUAAAUCCAGUGGAGCACAGAUCCAGGAACAUAUGUGUGCAGUUCUGCCAGUCCCUCCACAGGAAUCUGCUCCUGACUCUUACUGUGUUUGGUGUUAUCCUGGGUGCAGUGUGUGGGGGUCUUCUUCGCCUAGCAACACCUAUUGACCCUGACAUCAUCAUGUUAAUAGCCUUCCCAGGAGAUAUACUUAUGCGGAUGCUAAAAAUGCUGAUCCUCCCUUUAAUUAUCUCCAGUUUAAUCACAGGACUGUCUGGAUUAGAUGCUAAAGCAAGUGGCCGCCUGGGGACAAGAGCCAUGGUCUACUACAUGUCCACCACUAUUAUUGCUGCUGUGCUGGGCGUGAUUCUGGUCUUAGCCAUCCAUCCAGGGAAUCCAAAACUCAAGAAACAGCUUGGUCAAGGGAAGAAGAAUGAUGAAGUAUCUAGUCUGGAUGCUUUCUUGGAUUUGAUCCGAAACUUGUUCCCUGAAAAUCUGGUUCAAGCAUGCUUUCAGCAGAUCCAAACUGUCACCAAGAAAGUGCUGGUGCCACUACCCGUUGAAGAGCCACCUAAUGUCACUGAUUCUGCUAUUGCUAUGGUGAAUGAAACAGCACCACCUGAGGCCCAAAUGGUCAUUAAGAAGGGACUUGAAUUUAAGGAUGGCAUGAAUGUCCUGGGUUUGAUAGGAUUCUUUAUUGCUUUUGGCAUUGCUAUGGGGAAAAUGGGAGACCAGGCCAAGAUGAUGGUGGAUUUCUUCAACAUCCUGAAUGAGAUUGUAAUGAAAUUAGUAACCAUGAUCAUGUGGUAUUCCCCGUUGGGUAUUGCUUGCCUCAUCUGUGGAAAAAUCAUUGCAAUCAAGGACUUAGAAGUAGUUGCUAGACAACUUGGCAUGUACAUGGUCACUGUGAUUGUGGGUCUUGUCAUCCAUGGAGGGAUCUUCCUGCCUCUGCUCUACUUUGUGAUAACAAGGAAAAGUCCAUUUUCCUUCCUUGCUGGGAUUUUCCAGGCAUGGAUCACAGCACUAGGCACAGCUUCCAGUGCUGGAACAUUACCAGUCACAUUCCGGUGUCUUGAAGAAAAUCUCGGUAUUGAUAAGCGUGUAACAAGGUUCGUUCUUCCUGUUGGAGCAACUAUUAACAUGGAUGGAACUGCCCUUUAUGAAGCUGUGGCUGCCAUCUUCAUAGCACAGAUGAAUGGAAUUGACCUGGAUGGAGGCCAGAUAGUUACUGUGAGUUUGACCGCCACCCUUGCCAGUGUUGGAGCUGCCAGCAUUCCCAGCGCGGGACUUGUCACUAUGCUGCUGAUCCUGACUGCCGUGGGUCUCCCUACCCAGGACAUCAGUUUGCUUGUUGCUGUUGACUGGCUUUUGGACCGGAUGAGAACAUCAGUCAAUGUAGUGGGGGAUUCUUUUGGUGCUGGCAUUGUCUACCACCUUUCCAAGGCAGAACUUGACACCAUUGAUUCCCAUCAUAAAGGGCAUGAAGACAUUGAAAUGAUCAAGACUCAGUCAAUCUAUGACGACAUGAAAAAUCAUAGGGAAAACAACUCAAACCAAUGUGUUUUUGCAGCUCACAACUCAGUCAUGGUAGAUGAGUGCAAGGUACCUUUCACAUUUAUGGAUAUUGAGACAUGUAUAUAGCACUGCAUGCUUUAUUUUAUCUUAUUUUUUAACCUGCAUGUAUUUUUCAAAUUGUUCUGCAAAUAACAAUGUGACAACAAGGUCCAUGAACCCCAGACAUUUUGAAUGUGUUUGAGCAGUUCAAAAGAUGGUUUUUUGCACUCUUCUUAAAACUUGUCAUUUGAUGGGAAAAAAUCAUGUACUUUGUUUACAUAUCAAAAGGCAAGAUGCAGCGUAUUAUGGAAUAUGCCAAGACACAGAGAAUAUGGCAUCACCUUCUAUGGACAUUUACUUAAUUUUCUGUGGCAACAGAGAACUUAAUUGCCAGCCCAAAUGAAGGAUGGCUGCAAUUCAGAUGCAGGUGUUGUCACUUGCUGACUGCCUUCAUGAUAUGCUGUUCAGAGGUCGACACGUUGAAUGCGCUUUAGCAUGAGAAUGCUCCUGCACUCACACAGCAGCUUCUGCUUCUCUUCUGUCACUGUUCCUUCCCAAGGCACUAAGGCACAAACACUCUCUCCCCUCUGUAACCCUUGCUGUAAUUAACAUGCAAUAUUAAUACUAAUAAUGACAUCUUGAUCAGAGUGAAGUGAGCUUGAGCAACCCCACCAGCUGAAUGUGGAGACAGCUCGGGAGGUUAGUGGUUAAAAGUUCGCUAAGAACCCACCACUGGGAUGGAGCUGUUUAAAAUACAGAGAGGGCUUUUGAAAAGGAGGAGAAAAGGUAAAACAAGGUGGAACAUCUAAUUUCAUAGUCUUUUUUUCUAAUUUCACAGUCUUUUUUUUUUUCUCGAGUCUGAUGCUGUACACUGUCUUUGAGACAGUGGGUUUGCCAAUCAGCCUACCUUAGUCAUUUAUCCAAACAGAUUCUCUUGUAUCUUCCAAUUGCCACAACUGAGCCAGUAUCUAACUGUGAAUGACUGCACUAAGUUCAUUAGCAUAUCACCAUUUAUAUGGGAAAUAUAAUCCUAUGCUGUCAUUUUCACUUGUCUCUAGCCUGGCUGGAAAUGUUCUUUAGAAUUACUUUUUUUCCUAAUGCUUACUUCCUGAAAAUGCAGGCCAAACUUGAAUUUUCAGGGGAAAAAUUAAUAUUGAAUUCAGGGGAAAAAACCAAACAGCAUUCAUCCUAUCUUUAAUUUUUGUAAAAUUUUUUCAAGGUUUCAAUGAAGUGAUUUUUUUUUUAAAUCAUACUUUUUUCUGACAUGGCUCUCCCCUUUCUCUUCAGACCCACUCUUUCUCCAUUCGGAAAAUUUAAAAAAUAAGAUCUGAAAUGGAAAGAGAAUGCAUGCUUACACAAAAUUGAAAAUUGUCAUUAAUUUAUAUUUCUAAAAAAGGCAAGGACACAAGAGAUUAAAAUUAGAAGAAAAAAGAAACAUUCUGGAAAGAAAGACAACGAGCAUGUGCGCACACUUUUUGGAUAACUUCUUUUGGAAUUUUUUGAAAACUGUUUUUAAGUUAAAUAGACAAUGCUGGGUUAAAGAUUAUGUUUAUGGAACUGAAUACUGAUAGUUUUAUCAGCUCCCAGUUUCUCAGAUUUGCAGAGAAAUCCAAGUCAAGUUAAAAAGUAGUAGCUUGUUGAUUAAAUCAAUACUUGCUGCACUUUCUUUUCUCCUUCACUUUCUCAUAUAAUUUCCCUUAACUGAGGCAAUAGCUUGUCUCAAAACCAUGGAUUAAUGGUGCUGUGUGUCAUCCCAAGCGCACCCUUUAAUUCAAAUAUGAGACCAGUGAUUUUUUGAUCGAGAAAUGUUUGUUCUUUUUAAUUGUUUUAGGUUUGCUCUGCUUACAGUCUCAGUUUGCACUUUUAAACUCAUGAAAAGAGCCAGGCUUUACCAGAUUGAGCAGAAGACUGACUUUGAGUCUCUUGUCUGUCUGCAAGCUGCCAAAAGGAUGUGUUGUUGUGACCUAAUUGAUGAGCUAUGAAUAUAUGCUGGCACUUGCCAAACAUUGGGAUCAUGUUGAAGUGGUCUACAACUCCCAAGUGUUAGACUUGCAAAGGCAACAGAGAGUAUGAAGGAUCUGGGGCUUUGAAAGAGCCAGUUGUUAAAUUUGAAAAGUCAUCUCUUCAUCCUGUCCAAUGCACUGGUGGGUUGAAAAGCUUACUGCAACUCUGGUCAGGAUAUGGAAAAGCUAAUCUACUAGCAUGCCCUUUCUAUUUACUUUCUGUAAUAUAUUCCAUGUAUAACACCAGUAGUUUAUAAUUUUGCAUGGUCAAUGUACAUCAUUAAUAAGUAGCUUACCUUUGUAUUGGGUUAGAGUGGUUGUUAUUGCAUGAUAUUUUUGUAUUUUUUUAUCAUAUUUCACAUGACUCUCUGUGAUUUUCAUUUCUGAAUAAGCUGUUCAUUCCUGUACUUGCAUGUUUUCCUCUUCCAAUAAUUUAAGAAAAAGCUUGACUUUGUUUCAAAAAUCAGUGCAUUUUGUCAUGUUUCCAUGUCCCAAUGCUUCCAUGCAUCCUGUUUAUCCAGCAUGGGGAAUUUCAGCUCUGUCUUUAAGUUUUCAUUUGAAGCUGAAGAUGUUAACUUACAAGGUAACACUGGCAACCAAUGGCAAAUCUGCAGACUUCAAUGUUGUUGAAGAAGAGCCUUGGAAACGGGAAAACUAAGUGAAGAGAUUCCUAGCUGCAUCCUUAAUAAAUCCUGAAGCUAUCUUGGGGCAGAAGAUACCAUGAUUAAGAAGAUUUCUCUCUCUUUUUUUUUUUCCCUAUUUAACAUCUACAAUUUCUGCUUAAUUUUGUAACUGAAACAUAGCAAAGAUCUCAUCAAGUCAUUGUAGCGUCUUUGCCAAGCAAUGAUCCAUAGCCAUCUGUCUCCCCUGUGUUACUGUUUGGAUGAUGCACCUGGAGAAUGCUCCAUGCAGUGCAAUGUGCUCUCACCCACUUCCCCUUUCUUUCAAGACACAGAGAAUGUAAAUGCUGCAAAAUGGGAAGAUCAAAGUGCCAGUACAGUUCAGUACAGGGACUCAGGGUCACACAUACAAGAGAAACAUAACACCACGUAAGCCUUCAAGUGUUUCGGCGACUCUUGUGGCAUACCUGAUCUGUUUAUCACUGUAUGGCUAAAAUACCUUUUAAAAACAUCCGUAAAGAUUUCCAUUUGUUUUGAUAAUAACAAGCACUGUAUUUUUGUGCCUAGUUGUACUUUAAACUGAGCUUAGAUCUGGGGGCAGGAUUAAUGCAUAGAAGUCAAUAAAUUGUCCCAGACAUUUUGUUAGAUCUGUACAACUAAAACUUAGCAUCAAAAGAAGACCUUCAAUUUCUAUGUGCAUGUGGUGUGUUUUUAUCAGAUGUCCCAGGGCAGGUGCAGCCUUUAUUUUAUGCUGGGGCUGUGCUGCUUUGUGACCACGAUGCCCCAUGCAAUACAAGGCAGUAUAAUUACAGGGGUAGUAGUUCUUUCACUAAAAUCUGUAGCUGAUAUGUAAGAUACAGAAAACCAUGGACUCAGUUGUGCCAUUUUUAAUCAAAGUAGGUGGUACCUUACUGUUCACCCUGCUCCACUGAUGUCAGAGCGGUUUCUCACAUGGAUGAGAUACUCAAGGUACUACUAAGAUUGAUUAUGGAUGUUAUGAUUAAGUACUUGAUAAUGAGCUGCAGACAAGUUCUGAAUCCACUACUCUUACAGAAUUUUUGAAUGUCAGCAUCAGGAGCAUUUGCUAUGAAGUGAAAGCCAUCUUUCAAGUAUGUCAUGUUUCAGAGAGUGGCUAAAUCCUGAAUUCAUUGCUAAACCAAAUUCUGUAUAAAGUUGAGAGAGUUUGUCCAGGGUUAGGACUGAAUGAGAAUGAAACCAGAAUUUCAGGAUUUAGGCCAGUAUGUUGAAUUGCAUCUCUGUCUCUUUUGCAGAGUAAUAAGUAUAUAGCUCUCUCAUGUCAGAGAAAUGUUUCUUUGAGCACAUGGCAUCUGAAUUAAUGAGACAGUGUUUGAUCAACAUACUAUAUCUGACUCAGCCUGUCAAAAGAAAUUGCAGUGAGAAUAAACACCUUGUGAAAUUUUUUUAAAGGUGCUUGUUAAUACUGAGCAAUUUUAAGAUACUGGUGAAUAACAUUAUGCUGUUAGCAGUGUUCCACAGCAAAGCUGAGCCACUGUGAUCUUGGAAGGUUCUUCUCACAGAACAAGCUUUGUGCAAUUUUGGGGGGAGCUCUCAGAAGUUUUCAGAAUGAAUCAUAAUAUAAGCAUUUGAUGAACCUAAAAAUGGCAAAAAACAGAGUUCAAACAUUUAUGGAAAUAGGCCAUUCAGACCUGUCAUGGGUUUAAAGGGGAAUAAUGUGUUUAACUGUAGAGUGCUAUUUGGCUCUGUAGAAGCUAUUAAAGUAAAAAUAUAAUCUGCUUUUGCUCAUCUGCAUUCAUAUCAAUAUCUCUGAAACUGCACACGGACCUAAGCCAGCCAAGGCUACUUGCAUGAGUAAUGAUGUGCAAGAUCAAGUCCAUUGUCAGGGUAUCCCUCAUUUAAGCAUUUAUCUUGGAAUAUUUUUCUUACCACUGUUUUUUUGUCAUCACUUGAAUGCCAUGGCCAAGCAAAUCCUAAGCAAAAUGGCCUAUAUAAUUUAACCAAUAUUGAACCACUGUGAAUUCUGUAGGCCUCUAACAUGUAUUAGAGGGGGAGGCCUUUCCCAAAGGCCUCCUGACAGAUCUUGAGGAUUUUUUUUUUUUUUUUGGUGAAGGCUGGAAUUGUAGAUUAUUCGGAGAAGUGGCAGGCAGGUAUUCUCUUUUCUUCAGGCAUUGCUAUUAGCAUGUCCAGAGUUAACCUCUGUCUAGGCAUUGCUUCCCAAGUAGCAUUCACUGGGUUAUGGGUCAGAAAUGUACCUGGGAUGGUGUGUAGGUACUGUAAAAUGUUCCUUACUCUGGGGGUGCUGGCUUUCAUCAAGUGAACUUUGUUGUCACUCCAGUGGUAGUUAUAUCCAAGAAUGAACACACAGCAUUUACCCCGAUUUAUAUCCAGCAUUCUUGAGCUGUUUCAUGGCACAGCUCACCCAUUAAUAGAUGACUUUUUGUCCUCUUCACCGCAGCAGUUUCUUAGGAGCAGCCACACCGAUUGCUUGCAUUGAAAGUAGCUUUAGAAAAUUGGUCCAUAUACUUUUAGCUGUCAUUUGAAACUGUUUAGCAGUUGGAAACAAACAGGAAUGUCAGCAACAUGUGACUAGGCAGCUCCACAAAAUUACAUAUUGAGAAACACUUAGACUAUGCUUACAGUUAUCCACUUGGGAUGUAAUGCCCUUUGAAGAGUGCUUCUUUGGAUGGAGACUAGGGAAGGAAGGAAUGCAGUGCUAGAGAAACCCCACCCACAAAUGGGAGGAUAAAUUUGGAUCUUUUUGAUAGGAUUAGAAUAGAAGACUGUGAUUUUAAAGUGGUAAUUCUGUAGAUACAGUAACUCAGGGAUUUUUCAAAAUAUAAUUAUGACGGUAUUUCUCUAUUUAAAUGUGGAUGUGGGAGAAGGAGAAAUGUUGGAUUUCAUAUAUUCCUCUGCUUGUAGCCUGACUGAAUAUUUAAUGUAGUGUUACUCCAGUGCAGCACUGUAUUAAAUCAUCAAAAAGAUUUCCAUUUAUGUGGGAAAAUGUAACUCACUCUUGGCUUUCAUUUCUCAAUUUGCUCAUUCCACGAGGCUGGGUUGCUACUUAACUAAAUAAACAGAAAAUAACCCAGGGACCGUCCACUUCAGCUAAUCCAAGGUUCACGUUUCAGCAGGCAGUGCUGGUUACUUGCCAGCCUCCUUUUAGUUUCACUAGGGGUCUCAAUGCAUUAAUUUGCAUCUGGCAAAUUUUUUGUAUCUGUUCACAGUGCUGGGGUGGCAAAGUUAAAGAAAAAGCUCAGUGAAAAGUCAUUUGGUUUCUGUGUAGUUCAUAUUAACAUUGUUUUCUGCAUUUGCUGCUCUUGUCAGUUCCCCCACCUUUGUCUGUGCAUCUGUGAUAUUAUUUGGCCUUUGAUUGCUGGCAGCACAUUGGCACAUGGAAGAGUCUAGACCAGGGAAAGACUCAUGCCAAGUGACAUACAUGCUUACACGUUCGCUUCAUGCAUUUGCUGCUGAAGCUGGGUCAGUAUUCUCAUAGUAUCUGUUCAUUGAAAGUAAAGCAUGCCAUAUCUUAGAACUGCAGAACAGGUGGAGCACUUUGCCACUUCUUUCUUCAUUGCUUCCCUUGGAAAAAAACAUCUGCACCAGCCUUUUAAGAAAUGUGUGUGGGUCUUAUAUACAAAGAUUCUUCAAAUAGGUGGGGCAAAAGCCACUUGGUACCUAUUACAAGAUGUGCUCUUUCCGUUCAAAUUGGUGAGAAACUCAUUAUGUCUUUGAAAAACUGUUUGCAGUAGUAAAAACUGUUCCUGCAUUGCUUUGACUACGUGAAAGCCCCACUGAAAUCUGUGGGAGUCACAAUGUUCCAGGAAAAGUCAAGUCCCUUCGUGUCUUUGUUAAGUUACAAGACAUUUCACAAUCCCAUCCUAGGGAAUAGUCUUUGUCUGCUAUUUAUAAUGAAAUUGAUUCUCACAUCCAAAGAUUUCUGCCAAGAUACUUCAUUUAUACCUAAUUGUUUCAGUGCUACAAGUCCAGCACUGAAUUUAAACCCAACACAAAAAUAAGGAGCAUUCUCAUUACAGGUUUUUCCCAUGUUUUUUUCUGAGAUAUAGCUGAUUUCCAUUUCUUUCUUAAAGCACACGGAAUUUCAGACUUUAUGCCACUUUUUAAAGUAGGAGUAAUAUCAAUUUCUAAUUUGUUUUCCGUCACUCCCAGGGUCACUAGUUUUUCAGAAGCAGACACGCAGAAGAGUAGACUUUUCAUCUGAAAGCUGAGGCAUCAGCAUGUGAACAAAUUUAUUCUGGUGACUUGCCUGGAUUUUCUUUGCUUCCUUGCCUUCACUUGUGUUAUUGCAGCCUUGUUGUAGCAACACAGGAACAGUUGCACAAAUCCCCAUAACUAUAGGCAACAUUAAACCUCGCCUCUAACAUUCACUUCUCUUUUUAUAUUUAAAAAGGCUCUGAGCUUUAGGACCUGGCUCAGAAGAAUCAUUUUGUGGAGACAUAAAGGUAUAACUGUUUCUCAUCUUUCUAAUUUCCAUUCAGCUCUUUUUAUUGCUGCAUUUGAAUUAAUUUACAGAAGGAUAAAUAAGAGCACUUUAUAAAAAUGUACUGUAAUAUUAUUCUGUUAUGAGCCUGAAGAGUAUCUUGAUUUUAUUACUGUGACUUUUAAGGCCACAAUUUAGAUAUUUUUCGUAUUAGCCAUUAUGAUAGGUGUAUAGUCCAUUGGGACAGUUCACUUCAGCUAUAAUUCACCAUAUAAGAUUAUGUAGAAGUUCCUGUUCCCAGCAGAAAGCAUUCUUGGAAAGAAAAGUUAUUUUCUUCUCUCAAAUAAUAUUGGUGACUUUGAAAGGAAAAUAUUAACCCAGUUUCCUUUGUCUAAAGAAUAGUAUAGAGAGUGUAGUUUCAAGUAGUAAAAAGAACAAAGGAUUUACAGUAGUGAAGUGUCAAAGAAGGCAGUCAAGGUGUAAAUGACUUUUUCAGCUUUGCAAUGCUGUUUUUGAAAAUGUUGCGUUCUUGCUCCUGAUUUUCCUGAAACAAUGUAUUUGGUGCAUAUUCCUUCCAAAGUCAUCAGUCUUUCUUCCCCCAUGGGCCCCAAGGCUUUAUCUCCCCCCAGACAAUGACAGACCUGGGGCAGGGCUCCUGGAGAAGCCCCCAGCAGCAGUGCCUGCUACAGGCUCUACAGUGAGUGCCUCCCUCAGUUUUUCCUCCUGGUCAUACUUUAUGUUCAAUGGAAAUCUGCUGCUAUGAGUGAGUCAAACCGCUGCUGAUGUCCAGGUAAUUCUUUUACUUCUCUUUUGAGUGGCCUCCCUGGCACAAGGCUCUGAGGAACUGUCCCUCACAGGUGCCCACCAUCCCAGAGACAUCUUCUCCUGUUUAGGGGAAACCCAGUGACUUCCCACUAACAGUUAAUAUAAAUGUAACAGAAAAAGUGGUUAUGCAGUUGCAACUAUGAGUCUUACAAAUGAACCAGGUUACAAACAUUGGAAAAGCACAGAGCACGACUGAGCCACUGAGUAGGUCUCUAUUAGUCCAGGAUGGAAAUAACCAACAGCCUAUGCAAGAUCUGGGGAGACAAGAAGACUUGUGAGAUUUCUCACUUAACCCAACCUUUGAUCUCCUUUCAUUCCUAACUCCCUCCUGCUGCAGAGCCAAUGCUGAUCGAUGCUAGAGCAUCCAGUGCUUCUACUCAACAUUCAGGAGUCCUGCCACUGUUUUUAAUGAUGCCCUGUGGCACACACCAUUGCACAAAGGGAAGCUGUCAUAGGCAGCAUCAUACAGCCUGGAUUGUCUUGUACCUGUAUAUUGCUUUGUACAUAAAUAGUGUAGUCUGCUGGAAUUUUUGUUAUUCUUUUCCAUUCUUUAUUUGUUAUUCUUUUCCAUUCAUUUUUUCUACAGUUUUUCGAAGACCGUAAGCAAACUGUGCUUGCAUAUUGAUUUUGCAGUCAGUGUUGUAGGUUAUAGCAUUUCCAUGUAGGCAUUUUUCAUGGACUUGUGAGUUCUUGUGUACUACAGGUUGUCCUAUAUACUUAAAGACAACUGCAUACACUUCCAUCCAGUAUAUCCUGCUCCUUUCUUAAAUAUAUCUUAUUUCCUAUGAUCCGGUAUGAACUCUUGCUUGUAGAAUGCAUCAGAAAAAGCUGAAUAUGUAUUUAUAGUGUUAAAUAUUGUGUGCUCAACACUGAUUUAAUUAAGAAUAAUACAGGUUUUAGGGGUUUGUACUUGUUCUCUGGAAACUACAGUGUAGACUGAAUUAAAUUACCUAGUAUCUGUAAUUUACAGACACACAAAUAUUUUCUUAGAAUGUUUUCUAUGGGAUCAUAUUAGGUAGGGAAAUAAUCCUUUAAAUGUGAUCUAUACCUUAGAACAAAAUCAAUUUUCUUAUGACCUUUAGGAUCAAUGAAAUAUUUUUGUGUUAUGUUUGGUGAUGAAUUAUAGACAAAGCACAAAAUGCAAGAAGCAAAUAGGAAUUUCAAGAUGUCCUUAAAUGCUGCAGUUCAUCAUGGAACAAUACUAUAAUAAUCUGAGCAAUCUUCUAGAUUGACUGUCUUGGGCAAUCGUCCCUCACUUUUAUAAUUUUUCCUGGUGUUACCUUUGCCAAAUCCUGCAGUUCUUCCUUAGGACCUGUUAAUGUAUAACUGACUGGCUCAGAACGCAGUUUAUAGAAAAUAGACCUGGGUAGGCAAAAAGAAUAUGUUGUCAGCCCCCAUCCAUCUUGCUACAAUACAGUGUGUGUGAGUUCAGCCUGUGGAAAAAGUUCAGGAUUUUGCCACCUAAUUUUGCCUUCUUGAAAAAGGACCAACAGAACCACCAUGGGACCAAUGUAACUGGGUAGCAUCCAUGCAAAUACCUCCUGUUUUCUUAAGUAUUUUUAAGAGAAUAACCACUAUAUUUUUCAACCCAAAUGACAGUUACUUCUCAUUUUGGUAAUUUCUUCCCAUUAGGCAAAUACCUGUUGGCAUUAAGGUCAUGGCUAUAAUAAUUUCAACUUAAUUAAUAAACAAAUGUUUCUAGAGGAAUAAAAAUAAAAUAAUAUGAGUAUUCAUAACAACUAUAUAACAAAAAAAAAAUCUUCUAUGGCCUACUAGCUCUUUGACUGUAAUUCAAAACAAAGAGAACAUUGAAUAGGAAGGACUGCUGUCCCAGUGUGACUGAUACUGGGUAUCUCUUCAGCUAUUCAGAAAUCUGUGGGGCCAUGUUAUUCUGCUGAGGUUUUGGAGCCUAAGUUUCUAGUAGAUAUAUAUGUAGGAAGUGUGUUGAUAUACCCUUGUAUUUUGAUCUAUAUUGUAUUUUAAAUCAGAUGUAACAGGUAUUAACUUAAUAGGAAUUGCAGGUAGAAUAGUGCUGAGUUACUAAUAGCUGUAAAACCUUAUUGAUACCAGUUUUGACAUUUUGUUGAAGCAUGAUGUCCAGUGCCUCUCUGCACUUAGUGUAGAUAAUGUAGCUAUCAACACGUAAUUUCAGUGAAAUGGUGUAUACAGUAUGUGUAGCUGUGCUUUAAAUUAAUUUAAUUGGUAUCCGUGUGUUGAGCCAUAGUAGAAAAUUAGACUGUGUUUUAAAAUGUUGUUUGACUUUCUGUUUUUCAUUUGUAUCUGGGUUUGUUUCUUUUUGACCUUUCAACUGAUUAGAUUCCACAGCGUAGUAACUACUUUAUCUGUCUCUUAUGGAGUACCCAGUUUUAAUAACAUUCAGAAUCAUGUAUGCAGCCAGCUCAUUGUAAAUAUGUUAAUUUUAGUUUUCAGUAUCUAACCAGUAUGGUGGGUGUUAGAAGCUGCAUGUGUGUAGUUCCCUGGCAGUGAGUGAAAGUGAUCCUAGCAUAGAUUUGCUGCCUGGUGAAUACACUUGUUAUGACCUAAAGAAUUAAUGUUCAACUGGAAUGAUAAGUUUCUGUUUUAUUUUCUUCUUGUUUGCUUCAAAUGUUUGGACUCUUUACGACCAGAAUCUUAGUAAGUCACCAUUUCAAUUGGCACAGUGAAUGAGGGGAAGUCCAUCUAACUGCAUUCCUGUUGGAUGCCCAGACUGCUUUUGGCUCUGUGCAUCAUUCAGCCCUUAGUCACUCAUGGCAUCACAGGAUCCCUCUGAGUCACUUCCAGUUACUCCUUGACCACAGAUGCCAGGAAAGCAGGGCAGUCCCUGCUGUGACUGGGCAGGCCUGCAGGCAGCAAGGGGCUGCCAGUUCUCUCCAGAGUGCCUGAGGAGUCCAAGUAGGAGCCUCUGCUUCAUCCCCUUAGCAGGAACAGUCUCUGAGAAAGAUGAAUACUCAUGGGCAAAGGGGCACUGUUUCUUUCAUUUUUAAAAAGGGAUAUUAGCAUUUAUUGUAAAAUAAAUGCCAAACUAAAUACUUCUAAAGCUACUGUAGUUGUUGUACGGGCCUGUUAUUUACAAAAGUCUAGUCAUAAAAAAAGACAGAUCAACUAUGUAGUCAGUGGCAAAAAUCUUCUGAAAUCAGAGCUACAGUUCAGAUCUGUGAGAAAAUAGAACCUUGCAGCAACAGGAAGCUGAUCCAUUCCUAGAUACUCUGGACCUGGAUCAUAUAAUCAUCCCCUCUAGGCAGAAAGAAAUAAAAAUUAGGCCCCAAAGCACAGAAACUAUCCUGCUUGGUGAGCCCCACUAUGAUGCUUCAGGAUGAAUUGCACACUGGAGUACUCUGUGCUGCCUGCUCAUUAUCCCUUCCCCUUCUUUAAGGUGACCAGGCAUGAACUGGAAUGUUUUGAGAUGUUCUAUUGUAAAAAGGAUUAAAAAGAGGGAUAAGGUUGGUCUUUACACUCAGAAAGUUCCCGAGAUUUUGAAAUUAUGUACUGUACAGUAUCUAUAGCACAGUUUGUUUAGAAAUCAAUAAAUGCAGAUGGCAAAAUUUCUCCCAACCCUGGGCUCUGUUCUUGUAUAUUGUAGUUGGAAUGCCCUGUAGACUGAUUCUAUUUUUGUAGUUCAGAUCCUUUCCUCUUUACAAGGAUUGUUACUCAUUUGCUUUUAAUGCUUUCUUACAGAGUGAACUGAUUUCUGUAACUUUCAUGUAUAAAACAAACUAGACAUUCUUUCUAUACUGGAAAUAGUCAUGAAUAUAAUAUUUCACUAAGUGUUAUACCUCUUAUGUACAUAUCAUCAAUAAAUGUUGAUUCAUAAUUUU